RNAcentral lists this transfer RNA (79 nucleotides) under Fomitiporia mediterranea MF3/22. RNAcentral describes it as "tRNA-Leu (TAG) (tRNA-Leu-TAG-1-1)". It matches the Rfam family "tRNA". Rfam says of the family: Transfer RNA (tRNA) molecules are approximately 80 nucleotides in length. Their secondary structure includes four short double-helical elements and three loops (D, anti-codon, and T loops). Lineage: Eukaryota; Fungi; Basidiomycota; Agaricomycetes; Hymenochaetales; Hymenochaetaceae. The record is from RNAcentral.
GGCGAAGUGGCCGAGUGGUUAAGGCGCUAUGUUUAGGCCGUAGUGGGAAACCUCGCGAGUUCGAAUCUCGUCUUCGUCA